UACAGAGGUCUCGAGCGUUGUUCGGAUUUAUUGGGCGUAAAGGGUGCGUAGGCGGUAUGGCAAGUCAAGUGUGAAAUCUCAGGGCUCAACCCUGAAACUGCACUUGAUACUGCUCUGCUUGAGGACUGGAGAGGAGACUGGAAUUCACGGUGUAGCAGUGAAAUGCGUAGAUAUCGUGAGGAAGACCAGUGGCGAAGGCGGGUCUCUGGACAGUUCCUGACGCUGAGGCGCGAAGGCCAGGGGAGCAAACGGG
RNAcentral lists this ribosomal RNA (253 nucleotides) under uncultured bacterium. Its description in RNAcentral is "partial 16S ribosomal RNA". It matches the Rfam family "Bacterial small subunit ribosomal RNA", at positions 524 to 776 of the family's 1533-position model. The record is from RNAcentral.